GUCCACGCCCUAAACGAUGAUGACUAGUUGUUGGAGGAGUUAAAUCCUUUAGUAACGCAGCUAACGCGAGAAGUCAUCCGCCUGGGGAGUACGGUCGCAAGAUUAAAACUCAAAGGAAUUGACGGGGCCCGCACAAGCGGUGGAGCAUGUGGUUUAAUUCGACGCAACGCGCAGAACCUUACCAGCCCUUGACAUGCCGUGCUACACGCAGAGAUGCGUGGUUCCAGCAAUGGACGCGGACACAGGUGCUGCAUGGCUGUCGU
Molecule: ribosomal RNA, 263 nt
Filed under: uncultured bacterium
Lineage: Bacteria
Description: partial 16S ribosomal RNA
Rfam family: Bacterial small subunit ribosomal RNA
Source: RNAcentral